This is a long non-coding RNA of Marmota monax (woodchuck), 3183 nucleotides long. RefSeq lists it as uncharacterized. Lineage: Eukaryota; Metazoa; Chordata; Mammalia; Rodentia; Sciuridae. The transcript is spliced from 2 exons. The record is from RefSeq and is a predicted model, not a curated record.
UUGUUGUAAGGGUUAGAUGAGGUGAUACAGGAAGUAUUUAAAAGUGCACCUUCCAGGUAGUAAGUACUGAACCAGUGUUACUUAUUAAUGAUGAUCACAUGACUAACAGACACCAGUGGUAACAGCUCCGUUCAGAAGCACCAGUCUCUUCCUUCUGGCUUGAUCCACACGGCACCUCUCCAAGGGGGGCUUGAACCUGAUGUGAAGUCCAAGGCCUGGACCCGACUGCAAGUUGCUUGGCAGAAACCCCUCCAAAUGCUGAAGUCGUCCCAGGAGAGGGGGCGGGGUUUUCUACAUCAAGGUCCUUCAAGCAGCUUCCAGGACGGUCCGCUCGGAAACCCCAAGGUCCUGGCAGUCAAUUCUCAAUGCACCCGCCUGCUCCCCGUGUGACUGACUGACUCAAAACCCAGGGACCCAGUGGUUCCCCUGAGCGCUCAGGGGGAAGGAAGCCAACCCCUGGUUCAGGUUGCCCCCGCCCCAGAGCAUGGGUGUUUUCUUCUGCCGCCCCACGGGCACCCUGCGGACACCCCUGCGAGUGCAGGAGGUGAGCAGGACCGGGGCGUGUCGCUGCAGCUCCCAAGCGUCUUCCGGUGGCCAAGAUUUGCCUUGGCACCUUAUGGCCCCUUUUCAGCCCGAGUUCAGGGCAAUUCGAGGGAGGUCUGAGGCCAGGCCUUGGGACCCUCCUGCGAGCUCCCUGCACGCUGAUCCCUGGGGUCCCUCGGGCACGGAAGGAGCCCCGCCCGGAUCUACGUGCCCUUCCCUACAUGGCAGUCCGGGCAGUGCCACCCGGUGGUUUUGAGUUAGAACAGGACCGAGCAGCUUACGUGCCUCUCUGCCAGCAGCUGAAAUGCGGUCACUUCUGCCUUUGUCUGACAUGAACAUCCUUGAACUUUAUGUGCAUCUUCAAGAAUUUCUGUGGUGUAGAUUCCCAGAACUGAAAUCACUCUGUCUACAGAUUUGCAAAAUCUUUGAUAGACACCAGCGAAUAUCUGAUCUGUUAUCCCUACCACAGAUAGAUAUAUUUUUUUCUUUCUGUUGUUGAGUUUGUGCUGUUUGUUGUCUCUCUCCAUACAACUGUGUGAGUUUACCUUGACAAAUGUACCAGUGUGUUCCGUUUUGUCCUGCAAGUCUUUCCUUGCUUGGAUAAGUGUCCCUCCCCUAGAAUUAUGAAAACACCGUCCUCUCCCCACUCCAUAAUUUCACAGGUUCCUCGAGUAUUCGCAGCUGCUCGGUGAGUGAUCCACCCCUGGGUCAAGGCCAGAACUUUCCAAGUACACUACUACAGGUUUCUGAUACGCUUUUGCAUCUGGUAGGACGAACUUUCCCUCUUUCUCAAAAUAUUCUCAGCUACUCUUUUCUUCCUCUUCUUCUUCUUUCUUCUUUCUUCUUUUUUUAAGCUGGGGGUUGCACCCAGGGGCACUUUACCACUGAGCUACAUCCCCAGCCAUUUUUAAUUUUCUUUUAUUUUGAAGGAGGGUCUCACUAAGUUGUUUAAGGUCUCACUAAGUUGCUGAGGCUGCCCUUGAACUUGUGAUCCUCCUGCCUCAGUCUCCCGUGCUGCUGGGAUUGCAGAUGUGCGUCCGCUGCUCCAACCAGCUGUGCUGGAGUAAUAAAAUCCUCAGAAAGGGACAGUAUAAUACUCAUCUUUGUCCCCGCGCCCCCAGCACCAGUCCCAAACAUACUUGAUAACCAUUUAUUCAACACAUAGACAAAAGCAAGAAGCUCUCGGUACAGACUCAGACUUCGCUGUUCCUCGUAACAGCUGUAGGAUCUUGAGCAAGGGCUUCACUUCUGCGACAGCUGGCUUUCUCGUUGGGAACACACCCACAGUCACGCCAGCCCGCCUAGCUACGGUUCACUCCAGCACCAGACGACGCAGUCCGUGCGCUGGGGCAGCAGAGUUUGGGGGAAAUGUACCAGAGUGAAGCCCAUGCCUAAUGGGAUGAAGAGGAGCACCUGGAAAUAGGAACAAAAGCCAGCAAAGAAAUUACAGCGUCCUCCCCACUGUCUGCCUACAUUCCCAACCACCCACAGGAGGCGAGAGACCUCCUGUUCACAGGACACCUGGAAGUCUCUGGAAGCAGCCCUGGAGCCCUGGAAAAAGUACAUCUUCCCCUGCCUCCCCCCCCCAAAAAAAAAACCCAACAAAAACAAACAAAUAAAUGAAACCUCAAUAGGUAAACCUCUGCUUAGACCAUCUGACAUCCCCAAAGAGGGUGCCCAGCCCAAACCCAGAACAGGCUCCCCCCACCCCCGGGUCCUCCGGGUGCCUCCUGGCUACCAGAACUUGGCCAGAAGACAGUGUUUCUAGAAGGCUCACCAUGUGCCAGACUCUGUUCUGAGCACUUGUGCGUUAGCUCACUCCAUCUUCAAGAAAACCUUGGGAAGCAGGUGUCGUUGACAUCGGAUUUUUUGGCUGAGGACUUGGAGGUACAGAGAGCUAAGGUGACUCACCUGAGGUCACAUAGCGAGUGAGAGAUGGAACCUGAAUAGAGCCCAGGCCAAUUUGCUCCAGUGUCUGUGCCAAAUCACACUGUGUUACUAUGCAAGAUCACGAAUCCAUGACGUUCUUUCUGUUGGUUGAGCGCACACACACACACACACACACACACACCCCACAGUGGGUCCUCCAUAUCCAGGGGUUUUGUGGAUUUGUACUGAACAUGUACUGGGCUUUUAUUGGUGGUGGGUUCAUUAUUCCCUGAACAAUACAACUGUUUAAAAAAAUUAUUGACAGACCCUUACAUCAUAUGAGGUAUUGCAGGUGAUCUAGACAGGAUUUAAAGUACUCAGGAGGAUGAGAGUAGUUACAUAUAAACACUACACCAUUGUAUAUAAGGAAUUUGAGCAUCUGCAGAUUUUGGUAUCCACAUGGGGGUCCUGAAACUGAUCCCCUCCAGAUACCGAGGGACACCUGGACAGGCAAGAAUCCUGAGACUGUUAGAUGUCUGUCUGUCUGUGGUAGUGAUGUACGCAUCCAGAGUAACGUGUCUGUGUGACUCUGAGCUAAUGCCAGUGGUUCUUGUUUCUACAUGUUGUAAUGCUGAGAAAUGUUAGCUUCUUUGUAAUUAUCUGGCUUUGUGUGAAAAAUUCAACAAUAUACUUCAUUUUUAGAAAAGAAAUCCAUAUUAGAAAAAGGAAAACAUAAAGUACUUGAGAAAUAAAAAUUCCUGGCUUAUCUAA